This is a long non-coding RNA of Chinchilla lanigera (long-tailed chinchilla), 1001 nucleotides long. RefSeq lists it as uncharacterized. The transcript has 3 exons. The record is from RefSeq and is a predicted model, not a curated record. NCBI's taxonomy places the organism in Eukaryota, Metazoa, Chordata, Mammalia, Rodentia, Chinchillidae.
ACCAUGCCCUACUUGAAAAUUAUAUUUUAAACAGUUAGUUAUGCAGUUAUUUGGUCACUGGCUCCCCUACUGGACGAUAGCUUUAUAACGGCAAAUGUCAUGUCUGUGAUUUCAGUGACACAGAAUGGGAACAGUACAAGUGUGUCAAUACACAUGCAAACUUCAUAGCAUGACCCGCAGUCCAGCUGGCGUCAGUUGCACCCGGCAGGCAGCAGGAAUUGCUUUUGGUGGUGACCGUGGCCUUGGCCAAGGCAUCUUGGCGUUGGAGGUUGGCGCUGCUUCUGAAGCCGAACUGGGUUCAGUCACACCCUGGAACUCACUGCUUUGAAAUCAUCACGUGGCACUCGAUAUAUCACAAGAGACAGAGUCUCACGAUGUAGUCCAAACUGGGCCUCAAAGUCGCAGUGACGGUCCUGCCUCAGCCUCCUGAGUGCUGGGGUUACAGGUGUAUGCCACCACGCCCGGCUUCCCCGCCCCUUCACCCUAAACAGUGUGUGCGGGACUUGUCCUUCUUGGUUCCCGUCACACCUCCUGCGGCCAGUGGCUGAGCAGUGCAGUGCUCCGUGUGUGUAUUUAAGAUGGUACAUGGGACGAGGGCGUUGCUUUGGAGUCAGGCCAACUUGUAGCACUCCUGCUCACUGUGUGACCUUAAUCUCCCUCUGCUUCAGUUUUCUUUUCAAAUGGGGCCAUCACUGCCUACCUCACAAGAUCUUUGUGGUAACUGAGACAAGUGUAGCCAAGACAGAAUGCUGACUGGCACCUAGUAGGUAUGUAACUAGUAGGGACAAGUUACUCCUCCCAGACUCGAGGGCCAGACCUAGUUGCGUUUCUCUGUAUCCCAGGGUCCAAUACAGGUUCUGGCUCAGCAAAUGUUGAAUUAAUGAAUAAAGGAUAAUGGACUAAUUUAAAAACUCCAGAUACAACGGCAGGCACAGUAGUACGUACCUGUAAUCCUAGCCACUGGAGGCUGAGACAGGAGGAUGGCCACAAGUUUGAAGUCA